RNAcentral lists this unclassified non-coding RNA (19 nucleotides) under Mus musculus (house mouse). RNAcentral's name for it is "oocyte_clustered_small_RNA10198". The record is from RNAcentral. Lineage: Eukaryota; Metazoa; Chordata; Mammalia; Rodentia; Muridae.
GCCGGCGCGAACUGCCCGC